GCACUCCCGGGGCGUCUCUAUCUCAUCGCGAGAGGAGGCGCACCUAGAGCGUACACGCUGAUACCCGAAAGAUGGUGAACUAUGCCUGGCCAGGACGAAGCCAGGGGAAACCCUGGUGGAGGUCCGUAGCGAUUCUGACGUGCAAAUCGAUCGUCGGAGCUGGGUUUAGGGGCGAAAGACCAAUCGAACCAUCUAGUAGCUGGUUCCCUCUGAAGUUUCCCUCAGGAUAGCUUGCGCUCGGAAACAACGAGUCUCAUCCGGUAGAGCGAAUGAUUAGAGGCCUUGGGGUCGAAACGACCUCAACCUAUUCUCAAACUCCAAAUAGAUGAGAACCCCGGCUUUCUUGAACUCUGUUUAUGAAGCCGGGGGCUCGGAUCAGAGUGCCAAGUGGGCCAAUUUUGGUAAGCAGAACUGGCGCUGUGGGAUGAACCAAACGCGGAGUUAAGGCGCCUCAAUCGACGCUCAUGUGAAACCAUGAAAGGCGUUGGUUGCUUAAGACAGCAG
RNAcentral lists this ribosomal RNA (504 nucleotides) under Capsus wagneri. RNAcentral's name for it is "partial large subunit ribosomal RNA". It matches the Rfam family "Eukaryotic large subunit ribosomal RNA", at positions 755 to 1243 of the family's 3401-position model. The record is from RNAcentral. Lineage: Eukaryota; Metazoa; Arthropoda; Insecta; Hemiptera; Miridae.